Molecule: ribosomal RNA, 425 nt
Filed under: uncultured bacterium
Lineage: Bacteria
Description: partial 16S ribosomal RNA
Rfam family: Bacterial small subunit ribosomal RNA
Source: RNAcentral
GUGGGGAAUAUUGGACAAUGGGGGAAACCCUGAUCCAGCCAUGCCGCGUGAAUGAUGAAGGCCUUCGGGUUGUAAAGUUCUUUUGGAGGGGACGAUGAUGACGGUACCCUCAGAAUAAGCUCCGGCUAACUUCGUGCCAGCAGCCGCGGUAAUACGAAGGGAGCUAGCGUUGUUCGGAAUUACUGGGCGUAAAGGGCGCGUAGGCGGUUUGGUCAGUCAGAUGUGAAAGCCUAUGGCUUAACCCUGGAACUGCGUUUGAUACUGCCAAGCUUGAAUUCGGGAGAGGUGAGUGGAAUUCCCAGUGUAGAGGUGAAAUUCGUAGAUAUUGGGAAGAACACCAGUGGCGAAGGCGGCUCACUGGACCGACAUUGACGCUGAGGCGCGAAAGCGUGGGGAGCAAACAGGAUUAGAUACCCGUGUAGUCC